RNAcentral lists this long non-coding RNA (263 nucleotides) under Anas platyrhynchos platyrhynchos (common mallard). RNAcentral's name for it is "lncRNA (ENSAPLG00000018677.1)". Lineage: Eukaryota; Metazoa; Chordata; Aves; Anseriformes; Anatidae. The record is from RNAcentral.
UUAGCAAUAUUUUAUAUUUAUAUGCCUUAUAAGGAAAUGACAGGAAACUCAGUUCAUGAAUCUUUCCACAGAAAAGCUGGAUUGCUUCAUGUUUGAAGACAAACAGAAGAAAACAGCUAGAUUAUUCAACUAAAAUUCUGCAACUGGUGGCUGUAGGGAGAAUCAAGCUGUUUCAAACCAUGGUGAUCUGUGUGAAGAUUACUGAAGGAAAUGAUUACUGAAGAUUACUGAAGAUUAUGAUUACUGAAUCAUAAAAGAUUACU